AUGCAAGAUCAGGUCGGCCUGGACCUAGACGGCUUCUCGCUCGACCACGAGUUUCCGGAGGACUAUGGCCUCGAGGAAAAGGAUCGGUUGGAUAUCAACGGGGAGCCUUUGUUCAAGGACGGGCUCGCCAGCCAAGCUGCCAGGGUGAAUUCGAAGCGCAAGAGCAAGCGGAUGAAGGCAUACACGGUGUCCGAGGACAAACUCCUUUGUGAGUGUUGGAGAGACAUUGGGCAAGACCACAAGGUCAGUGCCAAACAAAAGGCAUCAACCUUUUGGAUUUGUGUCCAUCGUGAGUUCCAUGAACGCAAGAAGUUUGCGCCAUACCAAAUGCAUAGCACGCGCGGGUGGGUGUCCAUUUCGAAGCGAUGGAGGGUGAUACAACAAGAGUGCAACAAGUUUUGUGCUACCCUUGAGAGCAUCAAGGCACGCCCAUGA
RNAcentral lists this ribosomal RNA (435 nucleotides) under Triticum aestivum (bread wheat). RNAcentral describes it as "partial small subunit ribosomal RNA". Lineage: Eukaryota; Viridiplantae; Streptophyta; Magnoliopsida; Poales; Poaceae. The record is from RNAcentral.